Long non-coding RNA from Carassius carassius (crucian carp), 1517 nucleotides. RefSeq lists it as uncharacterized. Lineage: Eukaryota; Metazoa; Chordata; Actinopteri; Cypriniformes; Cyprinidae. The record is from RefSeq and is a predicted model, not a curated record. The transcript has 5 exons.
AUUUUUAUCAACAUUUUCUGUAUUUCAUUUUUUCUAUUUCAUCUUCAUAUUCCCAUUUACCCAGGUGACAUUGAGGACGAUGAAGAUUUAGGGAAGCCAAGGCGUCCUGAAAUUGUAAAUUCUGACAUUCCUAAAGCAAGUCCUGGAUCAGAUAAAUCCACAGGAGACACUGAAGCUAAUGAAGGUGCAACAUUGAUAAUCAUCAUAGCUGCCGUUAGUGCCAUAGUUCUGCUCAUCGGAGUUAUUGUAGCUAUUGUCCUCUACAGACGCUACUUGCAAAGCCGAGAACUGGGGGUCUACUCUGUGCCAGCAGAGCAAGGACAGAAAGCUGCUGUCUAACCAUCAGGGCCUUUUCAUUUCCUCUCUCCACUGGAUCCUUUCAGGGACGUGCUGCAAGCAUGUGAUUUCUCAUCUGAACGUAUCUCUAUAUAGUGGAUUCUAUAACGUCAAUAGACGAGAAUGUGUUGCUAUCACAAAUUUCUUAUGAACUCUUUUUAAAUGCAUGAUGUAUACUGUUCAUGCACACAUGCCGUAUGUUGCAAUCACAGAGAAAGUGCUUGGACUGUGUAGUACAGCCCACUGGAACUUUUCCCUCUCUGCCUGCAAUUAUUUUUUAUUUAAAUCAAGUUCAGACCCUUUAUAAACUCGGCUUGAAGUGUAAUUUUUUCAAUCUUUAGAUAUUCUCCUCGAAUGUAAGCCAUUCAUAGUCAUCAAAAAUAUAAACAAAUGACAUGAGUUCGGGGCGGGACUAUCAAUAUUGACUAGCCAAUGGCAGACAGUGCCACAGAAAUCAUGAACUGCAGCUUUAAGCAAUCAUCCUGCUUAUAUUUGCUCCCGGUCCUCAAAUGUUAGCUGUCCCCAGUGCAUUUAAAGUGACAAAAUCAAGGCGGUUAAAAGAUAAAGCUGGUCUCUGGCUCUCUGAUUAUUUGACAAAAGAAAGAAAUAAGUAGAGAGAGAAAAACGAGUGGAAAAGUGGCUCUGAACACCCACUUGUCAAAUGGUGAAUUAAUCAACCGCUUUAAAUAAUGAUGUUGCUUUCUUUUCCCUUUCUUUCGCCGUGGCCAACUCCUCUAAAGCACAGCAGAUUGUAAAUAGCUCUGGGAUGCUGGGGAGCAGACUAAUAUUUCAUAGGCUAUAUACUCCUGGCUUUAAUAGGAAGACAUGGGUGGAUGCAAUAAAGAUACAACACAUAGCAACAAUGAGGUCCAAAAGUCCAUUAGUCACUUUAAAAAAUUAUUCUUCAAAAUUUUACAUUUGAUUCAAAAUAACUUUUAACAUGUAAAACAGUUAACCCUGCAGUUUAUCUUGUUUCACAUGGCUCAUUAUUAUGAAUUGGCGUGAACGCAGCUUUAUUUACAUAUUGGCAAUAGUCUAUAUUGUCAGCGAUUGGACGAACACAGCAUGUGAUGUUAACAGCAUCGCGCACCCUCAUUUUGCAGAUGUAGGCUACUAAAGUGUUUUUUCCAUUGGACUACAAAGGUAAGAAUAAAACAGUCUCUUCUUAAAGAAAAUAAAAA